RNAcentral lists this ribosomal RNA (497 nucleotides) under uncultured bacterium. RNAcentral's name for it is "partial 16S ribosomal RNA". It matches the Rfam family "Bacterial small subunit ribosomal RNA", at positions 28 to 507 of the family's 1533-position model. The record is from RNAcentral.
GAUGAACGCUGGCGGCGUGCCUAAUACAUGCAAGUCGAGCGAACGGACGAGAAGCUUGCUUCUCUGAUGUUAGCGGCGGACGGGUGAGUAACACGUGGAUAACCUACCUAUCAGACUGGGAUAACGUCGGGAAACCGGAGCUAAUACCGGAUGAUAUUUUGAACCGCAUGGUUCAAAAGUGAAAGACGGUCUUGCUGUCACUUAUAGAUGGAUCCGCGCUGCAUUAGCUAGUUGGUAAGGUAACGGCUUACCAAGGCAACGAUGCAUAGCCGACCUGAGAGGGUGAUCGGCCACACUGGAACUGAGACACGGUCCAGACUCCUACGGGAGGCAGCAGUAGGGAAUCUUCCGCAAUGGGCGAAAGCCUGACGGAGCAACGCCGCGUGAGUGAUGAAGGUCUUCGGAUCGUAAAACUCUGUUAUUAGGGAAGAACAUAUGUGUAAGUAACUGUGCACAUCUUGACGGUACCUAAUCAGAAAGCCACGGCUAACUACGUG